CCGGUGAACAACGGUAACCUGGAAACCCGAACAAUGAAAAGUGGCGAACGGGUGAGUAACACGUGGGUAACCUGCCCAUCAAAAGGGGAUAACACUUGGAAACAGGUGCUAAUACCGUAUAACAAUCGAAACCGCAUGGUUUUGAUUUGAAAGGCGCUUUCGGGUGUCGCUGAUGGAUGGACCCGCGGUGCAUUAGCUAGUUGGUGAGGUAACGGCUCACCAAGGCCACGAUGCAUAGCCGACCUGAGAGGGUGAUCGGCCACAUUGGGACUGAGACACGGCCCAAACUCCUACGGGAGGCAGCAGUAGGGAAUCUUCGGCAAUGGACGAAAGUCUGACCGAGCAACGCCGCGUGAGUGAAGAAGGUUUUCGGAUCGUAAAACUCUGUUGUUAGAGAAGAACAAGGAUGAGAGUAACUGUUCAUCCCUUGACG
Molecule: ribosomal RNA, 433 nt
Filed under: Lactococcus lactis
Lineage: Bacteria; Bacillati; Bacillota; Bacilli; Lactobacillales; Streptococcaceae
Description: bacterial SSU rRNA
Rfam family: Bacterial small subunit ribosomal RNA
Source: RNAcentral